RNAcentral lists this small RNA (138 nucleotides) under Thermanaerovibrio acidaminovorans. The record is from RNAcentral. RNAcentral also lists the same sequence under 1 other name. Lineage: Bacteria; Thermotogati; Synergistota; Synergistia; Synergistales; Synergistaceae.
GGACGAAUUGGGUCUGGGAGCCCAGGAAGACCGGUGGGAAUCCGGCGCAGCCCCGCUACGGUGUGGACUUUGAGUCCGAGCCCGACACUGGCCCCAGGUCCUGGAUGCGGCCCCCCUUCGAGGGCGGGGGGGCCGCAU